CAUUCUCUUCUUCCAUGACAAUCACCUCCUCUUCUAGCAAGCAGAGAUCAGUCCUGAUAAGAUGAAGCUCACACGAGUCUUAUCUCUAUCAACCCAAAAUUGAUGUUGGCUUCUGUACUGGAAAAGGUCCCUGAAGGGGAGCUGACAUCUGGAACUAUCUUUCAGUCAAGCAUUAAUAGAUGCAGAAAUUUAGCUUCCAGAAGCCAAAUCAAAUUCAAAUCAGAAUGGAACAGGUAAUAGAUCACUUUUCAGAUGAGUUGCAAGUUUAAGUCUGUAUUGACCAUUCAUUCUCCUGGCUUCCCCUGUGCUGUAAAAGUACGUGGAUAUCAUGUGGAAGAACCAUUCUCUCAGUGGCAACUUAGAUCGUAAAUUCUGACCCAGGAAAAUGAAGGGACUUAUGAUUCUGAACCUGGAGAUCAGCUGAUGAGCUCAAGGUACCUGUGCUGGCUGAAACCUUUCUCUUUAGAACGCAUGUUUCAAAUGAACGACAAGCCAAAUGGCUUGUGCAAGGGGAAGAUUUGGGUUUUGUUUAUUGCACAUAACUUUUUACUAUUAAAAGGUUGAAUGCAGCGGUUAGUACUCUUGGUAGACGGUCAUGUUUCAUGUCUUGAGGACCUGUUAAUUUUUCUGAAAUGUCAAGCUGUAUUUGUGGUUAAUGUGGAUGGAAGUGUACUAUUCUUUUCUGUCUCCAAAGGAAUUGUCUGUUUUUUCUCUCGAUCCACAUUCCAUAAAUUAUGGAGAAACAGCUCUACUGAAGCUUGGUUAGUGCAAAUGAGAAGAUGUGCCCUGUAUGAAAGGUUUUGAGUUUCCAGACUAUUCACUUCCUCAUUAAAAAUUAGUAACAGAAAGGUGAAAUGAAGCUGAUUGUAAGGAAAAUAAAAGAGUAAGAAGAUUA
Ornithorhynchus anatinus (platypus) is the source of this 895-nucleotide long non-coding RNA. RefSeq lists it as uncharacterized. The record is from RefSeq and is a predicted model, not a curated record. The transcript has 2 exons. NCBI's taxonomy places the organism in Eukaryota, Metazoa, Chordata, Mammalia, Monotremata, Ornithorhynchidae.